Molecule: long non-coding RNA, 1640 nt
Organism: Scophthalmus maximus (turbot)
Lineage: Eukaryota; Metazoa; Chordata; Actinopteri; Pleuronectiformes; Scophthalmidae
Exons: 4
Source: RefSeq, a predicted model, not a curated record
CAGAGCUGCGCCUGCUCGCUCCCCUCGCCCCCGCUGCUCUGAGGUGGAGAUCAAAGCACCUGGCUCCACCUGGUGGCCAGAAGGUGGCGCACGCUGCAUUCACUGCCACUGGGGGGAAAAAGAAAACAACGAGAUGCUGAAUGGAAAAUAGAUGAACAAGCACAGCUGCCGACAGUGACACAGCAGCACGAUACGGCAUUCCUCGGAGAUACAACUGAGCAGCGGACUCAGGAGAAAUCGGAUAAGUUUCAGUGUGAAAACUGUGAGCUGAAAUCUGUUUACCUCAAGGUAGAAUCUGGGGCUUUCAGGCAUGAAGAGCUGUCCAGCGUGUGCGGUUCCCGUGUGUCUACGAGCUGCUCACCACAGCCUCUAUAAUGAACACUGAAGCCUUGUCAGGAGGACACAAAUCACAGGGCCGGCUCCAGCUCCCAUAAUGCCAUUUUACUGGGCAAAACGACACUGCUGAUUCAAGAGUGAGCACAUACAAGGACACACACCUGCUAAAUGGGGCAUAUCCUGAUGGAGCCUGUCUGUCAGUGAGUCAGUGGAGUGUAUGUUGAGGCCUGCUGUCAGCGGUGAUGAAGCUCAGUGGACACCCGAGCGCACAGACGACCAACCUCACCUGAUCGCAGCCGACGAGACCUCGACAGCGCAGAUGAGAGCAAUCGCAAUCAAACCGCACGACCAGCAACAAUCCUAAAAAAGCCUAUCUCUGUUUUAUUCUACACUUUCUCUGCUCCAUUCAAUGUCUCCUGCAUCUUCUUGCUUCACUUUCAUCUAUUUGCAUUUGCAUCUAUUGUUUCCACUACCAGUCUUCAUACUCCGCCAAGUCUCUUUUUUUGUAUUAUACCUGAUAUUUCACAUCAUUACAUAUUACUUCACACCAUCAUUACUUACCCUCAAGGCAACCAAACUUUAGUAUACAUAAAGACAAAGUAUCCACACUGAACCAAGGGCAUAUAGCUGUACUCUAUAAUUAGAAUGAAGAGCAUUAAUAUGGUGCGUGUAACCUAGCAAUGGAGCAUGUGACGAUGGCUGAAAAUAGGCCUUGCUCUGGCAAUACCCUCUGUCUGCAUGAUGGAUAGCGGUCCUGCUUUCCUUCAGCGUCUUUAAAAUACUGUACAACACUAGGUCAGGUAUCACUUGGCCCCAAAUCUCCUCUCGCAUCAACAUGAAGACGGAUAAAGAGCUUGGAGUUAUAGGAGCUUUGGCCGUACACAGUACCCAACUCACAUAAAAAAGAGAUAAUGUUAAUAGCCAGAGUGCAACUAACUCUGUCCAUUUUAACUCAACCACGAGCAAUUUCAGUCAGAAUCAGUACAAUGCUCUUUGUCAAAUGUAUUGAUGUCAGUGUCAGUUUUGUCCAGCAUUCACCGAACAGAUUAGUUGUUGUUAGAGUAAGAAGUAAAAAAAAUCAAUUCUCUCCUAGAAUUUCAGGUUGCUUGACCCACAAUUGCUGUAGGAGACAAUUACUAAAUAUUUUUCAUGAGAACUGAAGGAAAAUCAAUAGUACAUUUUCAGUUCAGACCACUACUCCAGACAUUGACUAUUUCACAGAACAUGAGGCAAAACUCUUUUUGUACACUGCAACUCAAUGUUAUAAUAAAUGCACGAUGCUUGCUGCAUUGCAUUAAUGGCAA